AUCGGUGUGUUUCUGAUUUCUUGAUACAAAAGAGAAAUAAAAAUAGAAAAAUUUUGUAGACUAACCUGAAAGAUGCUGAGUAAGGUUUGAGGCUAUUUUGACCAGAAGAAAAUAUAUUCGUAUCAGUCCAGUUUUGAAGUUUUAUUAGUAGUGGCAAAUUGACAGGGUGAUACUUUCCUGUAAUCCUUGAUGGCCUCAGUUUUGGAAGGUUUAUCUUAACUCAAGUCCAAACCUCACCAAACCUGCCAUCUAAUAUUGACUCCAAGGACCAUUUAAAUACUCUGCUCUAUUUCAAGCAGUGCUUCUCACUCCGGUCCUCAGGAGGCUCUUAGGAGAAAUGUGUACCUUUGGGCAUUUAGGGACAAAGACUUGAAGUCUCAAGUAUUUAUGUGGUUUUAUUUUCCUUGCAUUUCACAAUAGAUGUACGUGUUCCCAUCAAUAGUACAUUAAAGUGUCGCUGAUCAGAUUCGGCACUUGGAAAGAGCAUGUCGGUUUUCUGGCUUCAUACUCCCAACAUCCAAAAACUGUGUUAAAUGACAGAUUUUCAUCUAGUUUCUUCAACAAGAUGUUAGCUAGUUCUUAUGGCCAAGAAGUUAGUCAAGUAACGCUUCCUUUGCAGUGUUUUGAUUCAAAGGGUUCACAGUUGUGUCAAUAGUAUUGAUGAGCAGACACCCUGAUGUGUCAGCUUACAUAUCAGGAGAGGCAGGCUAAAGAUGAAGGGGAUUCCCAGGUUGUCAGUGUUCUCAAACGAACAAACGUGGCACUACAUUUAAAAACGUGUGUCUUUGAAGGAGCAAAUGCCGGAAAGAUGUGAAUAAAUUCAAGCAUUGUAACACUUGAACUGGAAGAGUACCAAUAUUCGUUCAUUUCUUUCAACAAACUUCAGGAAAGAAUCUCUAAAUUUUGUAUCACCUCACUAAUCAUAAAAUGCACACAUUUGUAACUUUGUUCUAGAUCCACAAAGUCAAAAUAGUGAAGGCUGGCAUAGCAGAAACUCAUUGCCAAGGCCCUGCCACUAACUUUUGGUACUUGACUGUGGAGCAAGUUAAUAUUAUGGGACAGAAUGCUACAAAAAAGAAACAGCCAAGUAUUUUUUAAAAAGUGAUACUCUUUUAGUUUAUCAGUGAAACGGUCAAAUGUGUGAAAAAAAUGAAAUUACCUUUUGAAAAAAAAAUGUAUCUCCAUGGUGACUUUGUUACCUUCAAAAGUAUAUAUGUCAUUUCAAUGU
RNAcentral lists this long non-coding RNA (1228 nucleotides) under Canis lupus familiaris (dog). RNAcentral describes it as "lncRNA (ENSCAFG00000054635.1)". The record is from RNAcentral. Lineage: Eukaryota; Metazoa; Chordata; Mammalia; Carnivora; Canidae.